CAGAGGGUGCAAGCGUUGUUCGGAAUUACUGGGCGUAAAGCGCGCGCAGGCGGAUCCUGCAAGUCAGAAGUGAAAUCUCACUGCUCAACGGUGGGGCUGCUUUUGAUACUGCGGAUCUGGAGACCGGUAGAGGCUGGUAGAAUUGCAGGUGUAGCGGUGGAAUGCGUAGAGAUCUGCAAGAAUACCCGUGGCGAAGGCGGCCAGCUGGGCCGGUUCUGACGCUGAGGCGCGAAAGCGUGGGGAGCAAACAGGAUUAGAUACCCUGGUAGUCCACGCCGUAAACGAUGGGCACUAGGUGCUGGGGGGAGCGACCCCGUCAGUGCCGCAGCUAACGCGAUAAGUGCCCCGCCUGGGGAGUACGGCCGCAAGGCUG
This 373-nucleotide ribosomal RNA is filed under the name uncultured organism. RNAcentral's name for it is "bacterial SSU rRNA". It matches the Rfam family "Bacterial small subunit ribosomal RNA", at positions 526 to 896 of the family's 1533-position model. The record is from RNAcentral.